Molecule: ribosomal RNA, 492 nt
Filed under: uncultured bacterium
Lineage: Bacteria
Description: partial 16S ribosomal RNA
Rfam family: Bacterial small subunit ribosomal RNA
Source: RNAcentral
AGUGAACGCUGGCGGUAGGCCUAACACAUGCAAGUCGAACGGCAGCACAGUAAGAGCUUGCUCUUACGGGUGGCGAGUGGCGGACGGGUGAGGAAUACAUCGGAAUCUACUUUUUCGUGGGGGAUAACGUAGGGAAACUUACGCUAAUACCGCAUACGACCUACGGGUGAAAGCAGGGGAUCUUCGGACCUUGCGCGAUUGAAUGAGCCGAUGUCGGAUUAGCUAGUUGGCGGGGUAAAGGCCCACCAAGGCGACGAUCCGUAGCUGGUCUGAGAGGAUGAUCAGCCACACUGGAACAGAGACACGGUCCAGACUCCUACGGGAGGCAGCAGUGGGGAAUAUUGGACAAUGGGCGCAAGCCUGAUCCAGCCAUACCGCGUGGGUGAAGAAGGCCUUCGGGUUGUAAAGCCCUUUUGUUGGGAAAGAAAAGCAGCAGGUUAAUACCCCGCUGUUCUGACGGUACCCAAGGAAUAAGCACCGGCUAACUUCGUG